UGGCUCUAGCAUCGAUGAAGAACGCAGCGAAAUGCGAUAAGUAAUGCGAAUUGCAGAAUUCCGCGAGUCAUCGAAUCUUUGAACGCACAUUGCGCCUGCUAGUAUUCUGGCAGGCAUGCCUGUCCGAGCGUCAUUUCGACACCCAGGCCCUCGUUGCCUGCUGUUGGGGCCUUCCGGCCGGCGCGCCAGCGCCGCCGGAGCCCUGAAAGAUAGUGGCGAGCUUCUACCUGACCUCCCGAGUGUAGUAAUUUACCAUCGCUCUCAGUGGGGUCUCUUGGGCUCAGCCGUUAAAAUGAACGGGUCCUAGUAAUAGGCCUAAAUCUUUAGUAGUUUGACCUCGGAUCAGGUAGGAAUACCCGCUGA
Molecule: unclassified non-coding RNA, 363 nt
Filed under: uncultured fungus
Lineage: Eukaryota; Fungi
Description: partial contains 5.8S ribosomal RNA and internal transcribed spacer 2
Rfam family: 5.8S ribosomal RNA (bases 1-133)
Source: RNAcentral